RNAcentral lists this transfer RNA (88 nucleotides) under Chloroflexota bacterium. RNAcentral's name for it is "tRNA-Ser". It matches the Rfam family "tRNA". From Rfam's summary of the family: Transfer RNA (tRNA) molecules are approximately 80 nucleotides in length. Their secondary structure includes four short double-helical elements and three loops (D, anti-codon, and T loops). Lineage: Bacteria; Bacillati; Chloroflexota. The record is from RNAcentral.
GGAGGGGUGGCAGAGCGGACGAUUGCAGCGGUCUUGAAAACCGCCGUGGGGAGACCCACCGUGGGUUCGAAUCCCACCCCCUCCGCCA